GGCGUUUUGACUUGCAUCAGCCACUAUAUGUAUGUCAAACAUGCCAGCAGCAGUGGACCCCUGACAUGAAGGACCUCCUAAGAAGUGGAUAUUGGCCAGCCUCUGUCCAGAACUCCACACUUUAUACACUGGACCUCCUGAGCUCCCUUCAGGAACUCAAGAUCAUUUCUCCGGGAUUCUCCAGACAAGCCUUCGCAAAGCUGCUGGAGCAUCGCACUAAGUGUGGAGGAAGAUCUGGACCUAUCAACGGCGAUGCACUGCAGCGCAGCUUCUUAGAGCUUUAAUAUGCAUCAUUUGAGGAAGACCAGCUCUGCUGUAGUUCUCCUUUCACCUGCCCAGCCUGCAAGCCGGAAAUGUUGGCUGUUUCAGCAGAUGGAAACAGAAAGCUAUAUCGCUUUCGCCGAAACGGAAGCUCUGAUGAUCCUGGCUUUUUUGAGGGGCUCUUUGUGGCUGAAGACAGUGCUGUGUCUAGAUUUGUCGACACCAUACAGAAAGCAGUGAGAAAUGCA
This is a long non-coding RNA of Rhinichthys klamathensis goyatoka, 509 nucleotides long. RefSeq lists it as uncharacterized. NCBI's taxonomy places the organism in Eukaryota, Metazoa, Chordata, Actinopteri, Cypriniformes, Leuciscidae. The transcript is spliced from 3 exons. The record is from RefSeq and is a predicted model, not a curated record.